Long non-coding RNA from Carassius gibelio (silver crucian carp), 819 nucleotides. RefSeq lists it as uncharacterized. The transcript is spliced from 4 exons. The record is from RefSeq and is a predicted model, not a curated record. Lineage: Eukaryota; Metazoa; Chordata; Actinopteri; Cypriniformes; Cyprinidae.
GCCCUUCGUAGUGUACCAAUGCUGCUUCUACAAAUAGCUGCCUGUAGAUCAUCACACUUUGACCCCUUGGUGCCUCCCAGACUCUUUCUUUUAUCUUCUCUUCUCAAAGUUGGAACAUUGUUCACAACAUUUGGUUGACUCUGAGGAUGUUUUAGUAAAUGAGAACAGACCAAUGGCUGCUUCCCUUGUGUAGCAUCUUUUUCUGUUGAAAUCUGGAACUGAAGGGACUUCGUAUUUUCCACAGUGUCACAUGUCUUAGAUUGCUCCUCACUUCUUUCUAGAUCAUCUUGUUCUUUCCUUUGUUGCAGCCGCAUUAGCCUCUGGCAGUCCUGGUUGGGGGUUAAAAUACCAGUUGCGCUCAUCCUUGUACCAGCCAUCACUCCUGAUACAGGAUUCGUCCAUACAAAUCAUGCUCUUUGUACAUCAAGUAGCUUUUCAGUCCUGGUGGGAAAGGAGCUGAGUUUAUGAACUUUGGAUCACCCAGCCUUAGUGGAGUCAUCUCUCUCCUGAUGGCAAGUCUGCAUUGGUGUUGCAGUGAACGAGGAUUCCCUGAGAAAGAACCAUUUUCAGCUUGGAGCAGAUAAUAACAUGAUUGACGUAGUCGAGGAGAACCCGCACAGCUCUUCCAGAGAACUGCACUAGCCAAGAGACGCUGAUGAAAUCACAAAACUACAUGCAACAGAUGAUAAGGACAGAAGUAAAGAUACAUAUACCACACAUGUAAAAAAAAAAAAAUACAUUUCAUUCAGAGUUUAGUAAGCUUAGAAUCCAUUAGCUCUGUUCCAAAAUCUAGUGAGUAACCUUGCUAUCUACUGCUUA